This is a non-coding RNA of Paramisgurnus dabryanus, 179 nucleotides long. The record is from RefSeq and is a predicted model, not a curated record. Lineage: Eukaryota; Metazoa; Chordata; Actinopteri; Cypriniformes; Cobitidae.
AGAUUUACCGAGCAAUCAAAACAAAGUAUAACGUUACAGUUUACUACAUCUUUACUACAACUUCGUACACAAUUCACAGAGCAAUAAAUUAUAACUGUAAGUUACUACAGCUUUACUACAGCUUCGUACACAAUGGAGCCUCGCUUCAGGAGACGGGCUGAUGGCAGCCUGAAUCUUUC